GGGUGAGUAACACGUGGGCAAUCUGCCCUUCACUCUGGGACAAGCCCUGGAAACGGGGUCUAAUACCGGAUAACACUCCUCCCCGCAUGGGGAGGGGUUAAAAGCUCCGGCGGUGAAGGAUGAGCCCGCGGCCUAUCAGCUUGUUGGUGGGGUAAUGGCCCACCAAGGCGACGACGGGUAGCCGGCCUGAGAGGGCGACCGGCCACACUGGGACUGAGACACGGCCCAGACUCCUACGGGAGGCAGCAGUGGGGAAUAUUGCACAAUGGGCGAAAGCCUGAUGCAGCGACGCCGCGUGAGGGAUGACGGCCUUCGGGUUGUAAACCUCUUUCAGCAGGGAAGAAGCGAAAGUGACGGUACCUGCAGAAGAAGCGCCGGCUAACUACGUGCCAGCAGCCGCGGUAAUACGUAGGGCGCAAGCGUUGUCCGGAAUUAUUGGGCGUAAAGAGCUCGUAGGCGGCUUGUCACGUCGGAUGUGAAAGCCCGGGGCUUAACCCCGGGUCUGCAUUCGAUACGGGCAGGCUAGAGUGUGGUAGGGGAGAUCGGAAUUCCUGGUGUAGCGGUGAAAUGCGCAGAUAUCAGGAGGAACACCGGUGGCGAAGGCGGAUCUCUGGGCCAUUACUGACGCUGAGGAGCGAAAGCGUGGGGAGCGAACAGGAUUAGAUACCCUGGUAGUCCACGCCGUAAACGUUGGGAACUAGGUGUUGGCGACAUUCCACGUCGUCGGUGCCGCAGCUAACGCAUUAA
Molecule: ribosomal RNA, 747 nt
Filed under: Streptomyces sp.
Lineage: Bacteria; Bacillati; Actinomycetota; Actinomycetes; Kitasatosporales; Streptomycetaceae
Description: bacterial SSU rRNA
Rfam family: Bacterial small subunit ribosomal RNA
Source: RNAcentral